GCCGCGUGUGUGAAGAAGGCCUUCGGGUUGUAAAGCACUUUCAGUCGUGAGGAAGGUGGUGUAGUUAAUAGCUGCAUUAUUUGACGUUAGCGACAGAAGAAGCACCGGCUAACUCCGUGCCAGCAGCCGCGGUAAUACGGAGGGUGCGAGCGUUAAUCGGAAUUACUGGGCGUAAAGCGCAUGCAGGUGGUUUGUUAAGUCAGAUGUGAAAGCCCGGGGCUCAACCUCGGAAUAGCAUUUGAAACUGGCAGACUAGAGUACUGUAGAGGGGGGUAGAAUUUCAGGUGUAGCGGUGAAAUGCGUAGAGAUCUGAAGGAAUACCGGUGGCGAAGGCGGCCCCCUGGACAGAUACUGACACUCAGAUGCGAAAGCGUGGGGAGCAAACAGGAUUAGAUACCCUGGUAGUCCACGCCGUAAACGAUGUCUACUUGGAGGUUGUGGCCUUGAGCCGUGGCUUUCGGAGCUAACGCGUUAAGUAGACCGCCUGGGGAGUACGGUCGCAAGAUUAAAACUCAAAUGAAUUGACGGGGGCCCGCACAAGCGGUGGAGCAUGUGGUUUAAUUCGAUGCAACGCGAAGAACCUUACCUACUCUUGACAUCCAGAGAACUUUCCAGAGAUGGAUUGGUGCCUUCGGGAACUCUGAGACAGGUGCUGCAUGGCUGUCGUCAGCUCGUGUUGUGAAAUGUUGGGUUAAGUCCCGCAACGAGCGCAACCC
RNAcentral lists this ribosomal RNA (716 nucleotides) under Vibrio sp. Its description in RNAcentral is "bacterial SSU rRNA". It matches the Rfam family "Bacterial small subunit ribosomal RNA", at positions 396 to 1104 of the family's 1533-position model. Lineage: Bacteria; Pseudomonadati; Pseudomonadota; Gammaproteobacteria; Vibrionales; Vibrionaceae. The record is from RNAcentral.